RNAcentral lists this long non-coding RNA (229 nucleotides) under Elaeis guineensis (African oil palm). RNAcentral describes it as "long non-coding RNA (EGUI_LNC020804)". The record is from RNAcentral. Lineage: Eukaryota; Viridiplantae; Streptophyta; Magnoliopsida; Arecales; Arecaceae.
UCAAAUCGCCGUGGGGCUAUCAAAUCACUAUGAUUGAUCCCUGUCCAAGGUGGGACAAUGUCCCAAGGCGGCUAUGCCGCAUGGCCAUGCCGCAUGUCUUUGUCAGGAUGGCGGCCCUCAGCAGUCGUACGGUGUUUGGGGAAGCCGACCGACCAUACGUCGGCGUUUGAUCGUGGGAUGUCAGGUGAAGACCCACAGACAUCGUCGGCUGGAUCGGCGCAUCGCGGGG